AUUAAUACAUGUUGGAGCAGUACGUAUUCUUGCACGAUGCCCUGGUUGAGGCUCUUACAGAAGGAAAAGGUGUUGUGACGGCCGUCGAGUUUCCUGAGUAUUACAAAUGUUUAAAACAACUAUAUCAUUCUACUAAAAAAGAGUGGAUUGUGGGAACAAUUCCAGCUUAUCAACAAACUAUCGCCAGUUUUUGAUGACAGAAAUUUUCAAACAGCUAAACUCAAGGAGAAUAGAUGUAAAAAUAGAUAUACCAAUGCCUUUGCAAGUGACAACUACCGGUAUAGAACAUUUAUCUUAAGUGGUGACAAUAAUUACAUUAAUGCUAUACAAACACCGG
This is a long non-coding RNA of Saccostrea echinata, 337 nucleotides long. RefSeq lists it as uncharacterized. The transcript is spliced from 3 exons. The record is from RefSeq and is a predicted model, not a curated record. NCBI's taxonomy places the organism in Eukaryota, Metazoa, Mollusca, Bivalvia, Ostreida, Ostreidae.